Molecule: long non-coding RNA, 556 nt
Organism: Brassica oleracea var. oleracea
Lineage: Eukaryota; Viridiplantae; Streptophyta; Magnoliopsida; Brassicales; Brassicaceae
Exons: 3
Source: RefSeq, a predicted model, not a curated record
CUGUGGAAUCUACGAGGAGAGACCACUUUUAUAUAUGAUUCAUUUGACGAAUGGGAGUUUUGUCCCUCUGAUUUCACAGCUGAGAGUAAAUAUGUACACGUCAAGGACAACAAAUUCAAUGCUACUUUUCUCUGCCAUGGAUGCCACACAAGUUGGGGAUGAUGAAGCAUCCAUCCAUGAAGUUUUCCUGGACAGUUUGUCUUGAAGUUUUCGUUGCCACACUGAAGACUCUCCAGCUAUUGAGAGAGAUCUUUUUGAAGGCUCUAUCGGUCCCCAUGGACUACAACAUUUUCCAGGCUAAUCAAACAUGUAGGCACAGCUGACGUGCAAACUCUAGCACGGCUAUAUUGUUGUUGUUUCUCUCUUCUACUUCAGAGCAAAAUGUAUACUCCUUUGGCGAGGGGGGCUUUCGUUUCGGCAAGAUUGCUCAACUUUCUUCUUAGCAAAAACGGCGUACACAUGAAAAGCUUCGUGGUUAAAGUAAGAUGCUGGUCUCUUCUGGUUAUGUAUGUCAAAUAAAUGGUUGAGCUGAGUUUCUUAGCAGUCUUGGAAGUAG